GAGUUUGAUCUUGGCUCAGAACGAACGCUGGCGGCAGGCCUAACACAUGCAAGUCGAACGAUGUAGCAAUACAUAGUGGCGCACGGGUGAGUAACACGUGGGAACGUACCCUUAGGUACGGAAUAACAGCGGGAAACUGCUGCUAAUACCGUAUGAUGUCUUCGGACCAAAGAUUUAUCGCCUAAGGAGCGGCCCGCGUCUGAUUAGCUAGUUGGUGAGGUAAUGGCUCACCAAGGCUACGAUCAGUAGCUGGUCUGAGAGGAUGAUCAGCCACACUGGGACUGAGACACGGCCCAGACUCCUACGGGAGGCAGCAGUGGGGAAUAUUGGACAAUGGGCGAAAGCCUGAUCCAGCCAUGCCGCGUGAGUGAAGAAGGCCUUC
This 382-nucleotide ribosomal RNA is filed under the name uncultured Alphaproteobacteria bacterium. RNAcentral describes it as "bacterial SSU rRNA". It matches the Rfam family "Bacterial small subunit ribosomal RNA", at positions 9 to 419 of the family's 1533-position model. Lineage: Bacteria; Pseudomonadati; Pseudomonadota; Alphaproteobacteria. The record is from RNAcentral.